This 255-nucleotide ribosomal RNA is filed under the name uncultured bacterium. RNAcentral's name for it is "partial 16S ribosomal RNA". It matches the Rfam family "Bacterial small subunit ribosomal RNA", at positions 524 to 776 of the family's 1533-position model. The record is from RNAcentral.
GACAGAGGUGCCGAGCGUUAGGCGGAAUCACUGGGCUUAAAGCGUGUGUAGGCGGGCCGUUAAGUGUCUUGUGAAAUCCCCCCGGCUCAACCGGGGAAUUGCUGGGCAUACUGGCGGUCUUGAGCGAUCUAGGGGCAGAUGGAACAAGUGGUGGAGCGGUGAAAUGCGUAGAUAUCACUUGGAACGCCAAAGGUGAAGACAGUCUGCUGGGGAUCUGCUGACGCUGGAGACACGAAAGCCAGGGGAGCGAACGGG